RNAcentral lists this long non-coding RNA (444 nucleotides) under Malus domestica (apple). Its description in RNAcentral is "long non-coding RNA (MDOM_LNC016298)". The record is from RNAcentral. Lineage: Eukaryota; Viridiplantae; Streptophyta; Magnoliopsida; Rosales; Rosaceae.
AGGUCUAUCAGCCAAGUAGAAGCUUGGAGUUGGUUUGUAGUCUUGCCCUUCCCUUUUACUAUAAGAUGUUUGACAGUUCCUUUGUAUUCCAGGCACACUAUCAGUGAAUUCGUAAAACCUGCUUCCAGUAAAGGCUUAUUGAUAAGUGAUAUACAUCUGAGUUCAGAUGACUUGGAAAUGUACAUAGAUCUUGCGCCCUUUUUGAACCCAUCUCCUUACAUUGUCCCUGAAGAUAUGUCUUUGCCAAAGGUGAGAGUUUCGCUGCCAUUCUUUCAACACUUUUCUUUCAUGGAAUGUUGUUCUUACUUUAUCAAGUUUAUAUUGUUCUUGAUGAUGAUGCAGGUAUAUAUCUUUUCCGUCAACUAGGUUUAAGACAUAUAUUUGUUACUCCUCGUCCAUCUUGUGUGAUUGGCUUGAUUACCAGGAAGGAUUUAUUACUCGGGG